UACGAAGGGGGCUAGCGUUGCUCGGAAUCACUGGGCGUAAAGCGCACGUAGGCGGAUUGCUAAGUCAGGGGUGAAAUCCUGGAGCUCAACUCCAGAACUGCCUUUGAUACUGGCGAUCUUGAGUCCGGGAGAGGUGAGUGGAACUGCGAGUGUAGAGGUGAAAUUCGUAGAUAUCGGGAAGAACACCCGUGGCGAAGGCGGCUCUCUGGGACGGUACCGACGCUGAGACGCGAAAGCGUGGGGAGCGAACAGG
RNAcentral lists this ribosomal RNA (253 nucleotides) under uncultured bacterium. RNAcentral describes it as "partial 16S ribosomal RNA". It matches the Rfam family "Bacterial small subunit ribosomal RNA", at positions 524 to 776 of the family's 1533-position model. The record is from RNAcentral.